CAGUCGCCACGGUAAUACGAAGGGUGCAAGCGUUACUCGGAAUUACUGGGCGUAAAGCGUGCGUAGGUGGUGGUUUAAGUCCGUUGUGAAAGCCCUUGGCUCAACCUGGGAAUUGCAGUGGAUACUGGGUCACUAGAGAGUGGUAGAGGAUAGUGGAAUUUCCGGUGUAGCAGUGAAAUGCGUAGAGAUCGGAAGGAACAUCUGUGGCGAAGGCGACUAUCUGGGCCAACACUGACACUGAGGCACGAAAGCGUGGGGAGCAAACAGGAUUAGAUACCCCCGUAGUCCCUGUCUCUUAUAC
This 301-nucleotide ribosomal RNA is filed under the name uncultured bacterium. RNAcentral describes it as "partial 16S ribosomal RNA". It matches the Rfam family "Bacterial small subunit ribosomal RNA", at positions 509 to 807 of the family's 1533-position model. The record is from RNAcentral.